GUGUGUGUGUAUAGAGAGCAAAUACAGAUUGAUAUACUAGCAAUUAUGAAAAGGGUGCUUUAGUUGAAGUGGUGAGAGGUGAGUAGUGUUUGAGUUUGAGGACUUUAGGAGAAAGGGAUUGAUCAAACAACGCAGAGAGAGAGAGAGAGAGAGAGAAAGAGAUGAAUUGGUGAAUUGGUGUUGGUUCAAUAUGGAACAAAGUGAGGGGAAGACAUGAGGUUGACUAAUGACUAGGCUGUGUGUGAAGGAGAGGGAGAGAGAAAGACAGGUGUGG
RNAcentral lists this long non-coding RNA (274 nucleotides) under Theobroma cacao (cacao). RNAcentral describes it as "long non-coding RNA (TCAC_LNC001586)". The record is from RNAcentral. Lineage: Eukaryota; Viridiplantae; Streptophyta; Magnoliopsida; Malvales; Malvaceae.